This 1395-nucleotide long non-coding RNA is filed under the name Homo sapiens (human). RNAcentral's name for it is "non-protein coding lnc-LRIG1-1:7". The record is from RNAcentral. Lineage: Eukaryota; Metazoa; Chordata; Mammalia; Primates; Hominidae.
CUCUUCCUGCGGGCGCGCCAGAAAGACAGGCGCCAUCUCAGAGCUUCCUGCAGGACUCAGCAUCUGCACUACCCUGGGAUUCAGACACCAUUAUGAGGAUGCAGUGCUGAGUAAGACUGGCAAAGUUCCUGACAUCUGGUGCAGAGGAGGUAAAAUGAACAAUCGGUUAUUCUCCCUUUCCUGGCAGAGGAGUUUCUUUGAAAUUUAUCAUCAGAAAAUCCACUCAACAACCAGUUCAAUCUACAUAAGAAAGAUAAGAUGUAAUCAAACUACCCCCCAAAUUGUCUAAAGACCAGAAUGAAAAGAAGAUCUCAGCAUAUCCACUGUGGCUACUAGGCCAUAUUAAACAUCAAUUUUUGAUUUUCCGGAAUGAGAAGAAAGGUUGAAUCAUCAAAGAUGACUAUGGGGGCUUGCACUAAGAGUCUACAAAGUCUUCAUUAUUGGAAAGUUUCUAAGAGAUACAAAACCGGAAGAUAUGCUCUUUGGUUGUAUUCUCUAAAAGCAAACCCUUAGGAAAGGGUUCAGGUGAAAGCAAUUCAUCUGGGGAGGAAAUCCCAGGCAAGACAAUGAAGAAGUCAGAGAAUGAGACUAGGAAAUGAGGAAAGGUAAUAUAGAAAAUGUGAAUGAGCAGGUUGCUGCUGUGGGCAUCGGGGUCUCAUUUUUGCAGAAGACUCUUUGAGAGACUACAUAGAACAAUCCUUACAAUCGGCCCAACAAAGCAUAAGGAAGCAGGGUAUUUAUCCACCAACUCAUGAUGUGAUGGCUGUUCUUGGGGAUUUAACUCUCCACUUCAGGCCUGGCCCUCCGUCAUGUUAGCCACGCAGGCUCUUAUGGGCCACAGAAAGACCUCAAGAGUUCAGAAGCCAGCUGCAUGCAAGGGAAUGGUACAAAAACUUCAGAUGACAUCCUGCAUAGGCCAAAGGAAUCUGCCAACAACAUCUGUCAAAGCUAUCUACAAUACAGUACGUUGUAUCAUGUUUUCCCAAGCAUGAGACAAGUACCACCAGUGGUUCAGGAGAUGAUUUUAGGUGGUUCUGGGUCAUGGAAUUAAAUAACAUUGAAUUACAUGGUUGGGGAGUUCUUUUCUUUUCACUUCUCUCUCAAUCCUUCUGACUAUCCAAAGACAACCUCUCUUUUUGGUACUAAUUAUGGCUUUAUUAUACCUCCAAUCCUUGCAAGCUUCCAGUUUAAGCAGAGAGUCAGCCUUGGGCCCCAGAUAUUUACUGACAACCACAUUUGGCCAAAAUGUGCUGACAUGUUCCUCUUUUCAUUGUAUUUACAUUUCCAAUUACCUUCAAUCCAUGGCAAGUGGUAUUAUUUCUUCAUUACUAGCAACAAUGCAAAGUUUGCUUUUUGAAUAAAUUUAUUUCAUCUUUUAAGUCAGCCAAUUUAAAG